Molecule: ribosomal RNA, 379 nt
Filed under: uncultured bacterium
Lineage: Bacteria
Description: bacterial SSU rRNA
Rfam family: Bacterial small subunit ribosomal RNA
Source: RNAcentral
GACGAACGCUGGCGGCGUGCUUAACACAUGCAAGUCGAGCGGUAAGGCCCUUUCGGGGGUACACGAGCGGCGAACGGGUGAGUAACACGUGGGUGACCUGCCCUCAGCUCUGGGAUAAGCCUGGGAAACUGGGUCUAAUACCGGAUAUGACUCCAUGACGCAUGUUGUGGGGUGGAAAGCCUUGUGCGGCUGAGGAUGGGCCCGCGGCCUAUCAGCUUGUUGGUGGGGUGAGGCCUACCAAGGCGACGACGGGUAGCCGGCCUGAGAGGGCGACCGGCCACACUGGGACUGAGACACGGCCCAGACUCCUACGGGAGGCAGCAGGUGGGGAAUCUUGCGCAAUGGGCGAAAGCCUGACGCAGCGACGCCGCGUGAGGGA